Oncorhynchus masou masou (cherry salmon) is the source of this 1688-nucleotide long non-coding RNA. RefSeq lists it as uncharacterized. The transcript has 4 exons. The record is from RefSeq and is a predicted model, not a curated record. NCBI's taxonomy places the organism in Eukaryota, Metazoa, Chordata, Actinopteri, Salmoniformes, Salmonidae.
GCAGACUCUCUGUCUUGGCUAGACGGACUGGGAUAGGAGGCAGCAGACUCUCUGUCUUGGCUAGACGGACUGAGAGACUGGGAUAGGAGGCAGCAGACUCUCUGUCUUGGCUAGACGGACUGAGAGACUGGGAUAGGAGGCAGCAGAGCUCUAUCUCUAUGGCUGUGUCUGAAGUGGCAACUUAUUCCCUAUAUAGUGCACUACUUUAGACCAGAGCUCAUAGGGAAUAGAAUGUAACCCAGAGACGGCCCAUAUUUACAUGUGUAUAAUGUAACCCAGAGACGGCCCGUGUUAACAUGUGUAGAAUGUAACCCAGAGACGGCCCAUGUUAACAUGUGUAGAAUGUAACCCAGAGACGGCCCAUAUUUACAUGUGUAGAAUGUAACCCAGAGACGGCCCAUGUUAACAUGUGUAGAAUGUAACCCAGAGACGGCCCAUGUUAACAUGUGUAGAAUGUAACCCAGAGACGGCCCAUGUGUAGCAUGUAACCCAGAGACGGCCCAUGUGUAGAAUGUAACCCAGAGACGGCCCAUGUGUAGAAUGUAACCCAGAGACGGCCCAUGUUAACAUGUGUAGAAUGUAACCCAACAUUAACAACCUGAUGAUUGAAAAGCGGUCGCCUGGAAUCACCAGUAGAAGUCAUGAAAACAGAACCUACAUUUAGUGGUGAGAAUGUUGAGACUCCGCCAGGGUUCUGUCGAGGGUUGAGACUCCGCCAGGGUUCUGUCGAGGGUUGAGACUCCGCCAGGGUUCUGUCGAGGGUUGAGACUCCGCCAGGGUUCUGUCGAGGGUUGAGACUCCGCCAGGGUUCUGUCGAGGGUUGAGACUCCCUAGGGUUCUGUCGAGGGUUGAGACUCCCGCCAGGGUUCUGUCGAGGGUUGAGACCCCGCCAGGGUUCUGUCGAGGGUUGAGACUCCCUAGGGUUCUGUCGAGGGUUGAGACCCCGCCAUGAAUGUCUGAAUCUCACAACUCAAGAGGAAUGGUGAACAAAAUGAUAAUUUAGCUCAUCCCAAAUGGCCCCCUUUUCCCCAUGGGCCCUGGUCUAAAGUAGUGCACUAUGUAGGGAAUAAGAUGCAUCUUGAGUAUGUAUGUGACAUUGGUUAUAAAACCAGCAGCAAGAUGUCUAGAUGAGGAUUGGGUCUAUUGCCACUUUAUUUGUUUGGCUUUCUAAUUAAUGUUUAUUACAUUGUUAGUUAUUUAUAACAUUGUUAUAACUGUGAAUAUGAUUACUAUAUUGUAUAAUUUGUAAUCAAUUACUUUUAUUUUAAUGUGUGACAUUUUGGCAAUAAACCAUGUUUAACUUGAUAGUUAAGUAGAAUCCUCAAAUUGCAAAUGGAAGGUUCCAGUUUAGUUCAGAGGUAGAAUGGGCGCAUCUCUAUCUCUCUGACGGUUGCAUUCAGUGCCUCUACGGAAGGGUGUAAUCUGUUUUAGACCAGGGUUGGGGGGUGUAAUCUGUUUUAGACCAGGGUUAGAGGGCGUAAUCUGUUUUAGACCAGGGUUGAAGGGUGUAAUCUGUUUUAGACCAGGGUUAGAGGGCGUAAUCUGUUUUAGACCAGGGUUGAAGGGUGUAAUCUGUUUUAGACCAGGGUUGAAGGGCGUAAUCUGUUUUAGACCAGGGUUGAAGGGUGUAAUCUGUUUUUUGACCAGGGUUGGAGAACAGUUUAACUAAACUCAUGAUGGAUCUCUAA